CGAGCGUCAUUUAAACCUUCAAGCUAUGCUUGGUGUUGGGUGUUUGUUCCGCCUCAGCGCGUGGACUCGCCUCAAAUCCAUUGGCAGCCGGUAUGUUGGCUUCGUGCGCAGCACAUUGCAAGCGAAUCCAUCAGACCCUCUUCCAUAAGCCUCUUUUUUACUUUGACCUCGGAUCAGGUAGGGAUACCCGCUGAACUUAA
This 200-nucleotide unclassified non-coding RNA is filed under the name soil metagenome. Its description in RNAcentral is "partial contains internal transcribed spacer 2 and large subunit ribosomal RNA". The record is from RNAcentral.